UUGACAUCUCUUCUCACCAGCAGCUGGAGGACUGUCUCUAGGUGGAACAUUCAGAUGCUUGCAGGUCCACUGCUAUUGUGCUUUUUCAGAAAUUGCUACAAUAGCACACGGACAAGGAAUGAGAGGAACAAGAAAUGUCUCCUCAUGGAGUGAACCCAGAGGAAAAAUGUCUCGCUGCUCUAUGGGUCACAUCCCAAGCCACUCUUCACUCACGAUGAGACAGACAGAGUGAUGGGGCCACACAACCUGCUGUGACCUGGAGAUUGCUGUAACAACCCAUUGAGAGCCAGUGCAGAGAUGGACCUUAUUGCUUUUGAAAGAUGGUAAGUACAAGGUUCACAGAUCCCUGGGCAGAGUUU
This 359-nucleotide long non-coding RNA is filed under the name Ictidomys tridecemlineatus (thirteen-lined ground squirrel). Its description in RNAcentral is "lncRNA (ENSSTOG00000033172.1)". Lineage: Eukaryota; Metazoa; Chordata; Mammalia; Rodentia; Sciuridae. The record is from RNAcentral.